RNAcentral lists this microRNA precursor (127 nucleotides) under Myotis brandtii (Brandt's bat). Its description in RNAcentral is "mir-9193 microRNA precursor family". It matches the Rfam family "mir-9193 microRNA precursor family". Lineage: Eukaryota; Metazoa; Chordata; Mammalia; Chiroptera; Vespertilionidae. The record is from Rfam by way of RNAcentral.
CGUGCACUGGUGGGGUCCCUCGGCCUGGCCUGUGCCCUCUCGCAAUCCAGGACUCCUUGGGGGAUGUCAGACUACCGGUUACGGCCCAGUCCCUGCAGGCCAGGCCGAGGGACCCCACCGGUGCAUU